RNAcentral lists this ribosomal RNA (493 nucleotides) under uncultured bacterium. Its description in RNAcentral is "bacterial SSU rRNA". It matches the Rfam family "Bacterial small subunit ribosomal RNA", at positions 28 to 507 of the family's 1533-position model. The record is from RNAcentral.
GACGAACGCUGGCGGCGUGCCUAACACAUGCAAGUCGAACGGUCCGGCACUCAACCGACCCUCAGUCUAACUGUAGGGGAAGUUGAGUGCCGGGUAGUGGCGGACGGGUGAGUAACGCGUGGGCAACCAACCCUGUACAGUGGGAUAACACCGGGAAACCGGUGCUAAUACCGCAUGACACCUAUAUGGUGCAUACCGUAUAGGUUAAAGGAUUUAACCGGUACAGGACGGGCCCGCGUCCCAUUAGCUAGUUGGUGAGGUAACGGCCCACCAAGGCGACGAUGGGUAGCCGACCUGAGAGGGUGACCGGCCACACUGGGACUGAGACACGGCCCAGACUCCUACGGGAGGCAGCAGUGGGGAAUAUUGCGCAAUGGGGGGAACCCUGACGCAGCGACGCCGCGUGAGCGACGAAGGCCUUCGGGUCGUAAAGCUCUGUUCUUGGGACGAAGGAAAUGACGGUACCCAAGGAGAAAGCCCGGCUAACUACGUG